This 253-nucleotide ribosomal RNA is filed under the name uncultured bacterium. RNAcentral's name for it is "partial 16S ribosomal RNA". It matches the Rfam family "Bacterial small subunit ribosomal RNA", at positions 524 to 776 of the family's 1533-position model. The record is from RNAcentral.
UACGAAGGGGGCUAGCGUUGCUCGGAAUCACUGGGCGUAAAGGGUGCGUAGGCGGCCCUGUAAGUCAGUGCUGAAAUAUCCCGGCUUAACCGGGAGGGUGGCAUUGAUACUGCGGGGCUAGAGUACAGAUGAGGUAGGCGGAAUUGACGGUGUAGCGGUGAAAUGCUUAGAUAUCGUCAAGAACACCUAUAGCGAAGGCAGCUUACUAGGCUGUAACUGACGCUGAGGCACGAAAGUGUGGGGAUCAAACAGG